This 497-nucleotide ribosomal RNA is filed under the name uncultured bacterium. RNAcentral's name for it is "partial 16S ribosomal RNA". It matches the Rfam family "Bacterial small subunit ribosomal RNA", at positions 28 to 507 of the family's 1533-position model. The record is from RNAcentral.
GAUGAACGCUGGCGGCGUGCCUAAUACAUGCAAGUCGAGCGAACGGACGAGAAGCUUGCUUCUCCGAUGUUAGCGGCGGACGGGUGAGUAACACGUGGAUAACCUACCUAUAAGACUGGGAUAACUUCGGGAAACCGGAGCUAAUACCGGAUGAUAUUUUGAACCGCAUGGUUCAAAAGUGAAAGACGGUCUUGCUGUCACUUAUAGAUGGAUCCGCGCUGCAUUAGCUAGUUGGUAAGGUAACGGCUUACCAAGGCAACGAUGCAUAGCCGACCUGAGAGGGUGAUCGGCCACACUGGAACUGAGACACGGUCCAGACUCCUACGGGAGGCAGCAGUAGGGAAUCUUCCGCAAUGGGCGAAAGCCUGACGGAGCAACACCGCGUGAGUGAUGAAGGUCUUCGGAUCGUAAAACUCUGUUAUUAGGGAAGAACAUAUGUGUAAGUAACUGUGCACAUCUUGACGGUACCUAGUCAGAAAGCCACGGCUAACUACGUG